Molecule: long non-coding RNA, 365 nt
Organism: Triticum aestivum (bread wheat)
Lineage: Eukaryota; Viridiplantae; Streptophyta; Magnoliopsida; Poales; Poaceae
Exons: 3
Source: RefSeq, a predicted model, not a curated record
CCUCGGACAAGGUGGAGCGUGGCACGAUCAAACACAUGAUGCAAUUGACGCGACUUAUGGCGGCGCAUUACCUGAUUUUCUGCUGAAGGAUGUAUAAUAUCAAGGAGCCAACUGGAGGAAGUCAUAACCCAUUUAAGUUAUAGAGUUGGGCACCGGCGACGUUCGACAGCAAAGAUCGGCUGCACAUAUGCUCAACAAUUUUUUUCAUGCUGUCAUCCCUACUUCGCUUCUUCAACUGGAUUGCCACCACCUUCUGAAAGCAUGCAAUGUUUGUCUGAAGUUAGAAUUUGACAAACCUGGGACAAGCACAUUACCUGAUUUUCUGCUGAAGGUUAAUAGGAAGGAGCCAACUGGAGGAAGGCCAA